Molecule: long non-coding RNA, 467 nt
Organism: Cyprinus carpio (common carp)
Lineage: Eukaryota; Metazoa; Chordata; Actinopteri; Cypriniformes; Cyprinidae
Source: Ensembl
AUGAAUGUCUUUAAAAAGGGCAGUUGUCCAGUAAUUUCAAGGUGCACCAGGUGUGUACCAUGUUACCAUUAUAACACAGCACAGAAUAAGAACAUGGAGGACAGCCUAAGAAAAAUUGUAUCACCAAGUGAUCAGUUAACCUUCAAUGGUUAUGGUCUGAUAGUACUUGGUACACCUCCACAGUCCCUAAAUGAUAGUGAAAGACACACCUGUGAUAUUACACAAAUAGACCAAGUACACUACCCCAGCCAAGGUUCAGUGAUUGACAUGACAGCCCUACGAAAUGUGCAGCCAAACAGGGCAUGCUGGAUCCAUCCACAAAGCAGUGACCAAAUAUUGAUGAUAAAAAAUGCUUUAAAUGAAAAGGAAUCACAACAACAAUUUUUGGCACAAGUAGGAGUACCAAUUCUGAACAGAUCAGAUUUUUUUUUACCUUGGGACAUCCAAAUGAUGUUGAAGGGACUGUG